RNAcentral lists this transfer RNA (73 nucleotides) under Myotis brandtii (Brandt's bat). It matches the Rfam family "tRNA". From Rfam's summary of the family: Transfer RNA (tRNA) molecules are approximately 80 nucleotides in length. Lineage: Eukaryota; Metazoa; Chordata; Mammalia; Chiroptera; Vespertilionidae. The record is from Rfam by way of RNAcentral.
GCUGGUGUGGCUCAGUAGAUAGAGCGUUGGUUUGCGGACUGAAGGGUCCUGGGUUCGAUUCCCAGUCAGGGCA